GCCUUCGUGGUGUAACGGUAGCACACUCGGCCCGAAUUCGAGAGGUCCAGGUUCAAGUCCGGCGAGGGCA
This 70-nucleotide transfer RNA is filed under the name Stegodyphus mimosarum. It matches the Rfam family "tRNA". From Rfam's summary of the family: Transfer RNA (tRNA) molecules are approximately 80 nucleotides in length. Their secondary structure includes four short double-helical elements and three loops (D, anti-codon, and T loops). The record is from Rfam by way of RNAcentral. Lineage: Eukaryota; Metazoa; Arthropoda; Arachnida; Araneae; Eresidae.